Molecule: long non-coding RNA, 732 nt
Filed under: Nicotiana benthamiana
Lineage: Eukaryota; Viridiplantae; Streptophyta; Magnoliopsida; Solanales; Solanaceae
Description: long non-coding RNA (NBEN_LNC023153)
Source: RNAcentral
AAGGUUAUUGUACACAGGAAAAGCUCUGAAGGAUCUGUAGUUAAAUAUCUUCUUGAUUUUGGUAAAAGAAGAUUCUUACCUGACAUUGUUGUUCGAUGCGGAACAAUGCUAGAAGAGGCUUCAAAUGAAAGAAAGAGAUAUUGGCUAGAAGAAUCUCACAUGCCCUUGCAUCUUGUGAAAGGAUUUGAGGAGAAAAGAAUUGCUCGUAAAUCUAGCAAGAUAACUGUUGGAAAGCAUCGCGAGACCAAGAGAAUUAUGAAAAAACCUCUGAAGAAAAAGGGCUUCGAAUACCUUUUCCUCAAAGUAUGGGAAGCAUCGUGAGACCAAGAGAAUAAUAAAAAAACCUCUGAAGAAAAAGGGCUUCGAAUACCUUUUCCUCAAAGCAGAGAGAUCAGAGCAUUAUCAGUGUGGGCAUUGUCACAAAGAUGUCCUAAUUAGGUAUGAUGCUUCUUGAUAUUUGUGAAAAGCUCCAGUCAGUUAAUAGCAUGCAAAAAUUUUCUAGCUUACAUGGAUGAGUUAACACUUCUUUCAUAAUCUGCGGAGUUAUGAAAAUGCCGUUUUUGCUAUUUAUAGUAAAUGUGGAUGAGGGUUUUCUGCUGAAAAAGAAAGAGAGUAGUUAGUUAUGGGAAACACAUGUCGUGCAGCAACUUCUGAAUAACCUUGCGAGCUCUAUCUUUUUCAUUCAUUCGCUUUCUUCAUAAAAGUCAUUUAGCAUUUCAGUCUUAGUUUCAG